AGAGCAGGUUAAACGGUCGCUCGUGUCCUGGACCUGGUCUUUGGAUGCGGGAGGAAAGUCCGAGCUCCGCAGGGCAGGGUGCUCCGUAACGCGGAGUCGCGGUGACGCGAAGGAAAGUGCCACAGAAAAGAAACCGCCUUGUGAGAUAGGCAUAGCUGCCGUUUUGCAGGGUAAGGGUGAAAAGGUGCGGUAAGAGCGCACCAGUUCUCCGGGUGACCGGGGAAGCUUGGUAAACCCCACCUGGAGCAAGACCGAAUAGGGAAGCGUUUGAGGAUGGCCCGUCCGAGCUUCCGGGUUGGUCGCAAGAGGUAUUGGGCAACCAAUACCCUUAGAUGAAUGAUCGUUGUUCCGUAAAGGGUGACCAAUACGGAAAACAGAACUCGGCUUAUGGCCUGCUCUGACA
Molecule: RNase P RNA, 403 nt
Filed under: Deltaproteobacteria bacterium
Lineage: Bacteria; Pseudomonadati; Myxococcota; Myxococcia
Description: RNase P RNA component class A
Rfam family: Bacterial RNase P class A
About the family: Ribonuclease P (RNase P) is a ubiquitous endoribonuclease, found in archaea, bacteria and eukarya as well as chloroplasts and mitochondria. Its best characterised activity is the generation of mature 5'-ends of tRNAs by cleaving the 5'-leader elements of precursor-tRNAs.
Source: RNAcentral